RNAcentral lists this ribosomal RNA (504 nucleotides) under Protoginella maestratii. Its description in RNAcentral is "partial 16S ribosomal RNA". It matches the Rfam family "Bacterial large subunit ribosomal RNA", at positions 1845 to 2598 of the family's 2925-position model. Lineage: Eukaryota; Metazoa; Mollusca; Gastropoda; Neogastropoda; Marginellidae. The record is from RNAcentral.
AUAGGAAAUCUGAUCUGCCCGGUGAAUAUAAUGUUUUAACGGCCGCAGUAAUUUGACUGUGCGAAGGUAGCAUAAUCAUUUGCCCUAUAAUUGAGGGCCAGUAUGAAUGAUUUGACAAGAGAAUUAUUGUCUCUUUUUUAUUUAUUAGAAUUUUACUUUUAAGUGAGGAGGCUUAAUUUUUAUUAAAAGACAAGAAGACCCUAUCGAGCUUUUAUAGUUGAUUUAUAGUUAUUUAUAUAAAUUAUAUAUUUAUAGUAUAGGUUUAAAUUUUAAUUGGGGCGAUGGGAGAACAUAUAAAGCUUCUCUUUUAUUAAUAUAUCUUGAUGGUUGAUCCAGAAAUAGUACUGCUUAGAAGAAUAAGUUACCGUAGGGAUAACAGCAUAAUUUUUCUGGAGAGUUCAUAUCGAUAGAGAUGUUUGUGACCUCGAUGUUGGAUCAAAAUUUCCUUAUAAUUGUUGGUGUAGGAGCCAGAGAGGGUGGGUCUGUUCGACCUUUAAAAUUUUA